AUGGCAGGCGAGGACACCGACCCCAAGUCCAGCGCUUCUGCUGCUGCUGUGCCGCAAUUUACCUCGAAUGGUUUUACUGCUUCCAUGAGACCUCCUAUGGUUGAGGGUAUCCACUAUAAGAGGUGGCGCGUGAGAGCAGUCUUAUGGUUUCAAACCAUGAGUUGCUAUGACACCACUCUUGGCAAACCUGAAGGAGAGCAAAAUGCCCAACAGGCACAAGCUUUUCAGAAAAUGGAUACCUUGUUUAAGGCUGCUCUCUUGAGUGUUCUUGGUGAGAACAUAGUUGAUGCUUAUGCGUCAAUUGACAAUGGAAAAGAUAUGUGGGACACACUCGAGGCCAAGUUUGGGGUCUCGGAUGCCGGCACUGAACUGUACAUCGUGGAGCAAUUCUAUGAUUACAGGAUGACUGAAGAGUGCUCCGUGGUUGAGCAGGCUCAUGAGAUACAGUCAUUUGCUAGAGAACUUGAGCACUUCAAUUGUAUCCUACCGGACAAGUUUGUUACCGGGGGUAUCAUCACUAAGCUUCCUCCUUCUUGGAGGAACUUUGCUACCUUACUGAAGCAUAAGAGACAGGAGUUUUUCGUCCCGGAUCUUAUUGGUACUCUUGAUGUGGAAGAAAAGGCGAGAGCAAAGGACACACGUGCUCGAGGUAUUGAGGGAGGAUCUAGUGCCAAUCUGGUACAGAAGAAAAACUCCCAGUCCCACAAGUUCAAGAACAAGGGCAAGCUUGAUGGUAAAGCAAAGUUUGAUGGGAAUAACAAGGCUGUACAACACACGAACUUCAAGAAGAAGAGUGACAAGAAGAAAGGUGCUUGUCAUGUGUGUGCAGAUCCUGAUCAUUGGGCUCCUAGUUGCCCCAGUCGCUAUGACAAGCGUCAUCCUGGGAAAGGCGGCAAGACCGCUAAUGUUGUCAUCGGAGACAUUGACAUGAAGGAUGCUGGGUAUGGUAUAUUUCCCACUAUUCUUUCGGUAUGUCAUUCUCCUGAUUGGUUGAUUGACACGGGUGCUAAUGUGCAUGUAUGCGGUGAUAUUUUCAUGUUUUCGUCUUAUCAGACCGCAGGGACUUCAACCGUGUUGAUGGGCAACGGUUCAAGUGCUUCUGUUCGUGGUGUUGGCACGGUCGAUCUGAAGUUUACUUCGGGAAAGAUCGUGCGGCUGAAGAACGUGCAUUAUGUCUCCUCCGUCAAUAAAAAUCUUGUUAGCGGAUCUCUUCUGUGUAGAGAUGGCUAUAAGCUUGUCUUUGAGUCGAAUAAAUUUGUAAUAUCAAAGUAUGGAACCUUCGUUGGUAAAGGCUAUGAGUCAGGAGGCCUGUUUCAUUUAUCCUUAUCAGAUGUUUGCAAUAAAGUUGUUAAUCAUAUUUGCAACAAUAGUGAAUCAAAUGUGUGGCAUUCACGUCUUUGUCAUGUUAACUUUGGUUGCAUGUCGCGACUAGCGAAGUUGAACUUAAUCCCUAAUUUCACCACUGUCAAGGGAUCUAAGUGUCAAGUGUGUGUGCAAGCUAAGCAACCUCGUAAGUCUCACGUGACCGCGGAGACGAGAAAUCUUGCACCACUAGAACUUAUACAUUUAGAUCUAUGUGAAAUGAAUGGUGUUUUGACAAAAGGUGGAAAGAAAUAUUUCAUGAUGUUAAUUGACGACUCCACUAGAUACUGCCGUGUGUAUCUUCUGAAAUCUAAGGAUGAGGCUUUGAACUUUUUCAAGAUCUAUAAAGCUGAAGUGGAAAACCAACUUGAUUAG
RNAcentral lists this ribosomal RNA (1737 nucleotides) under Triticum aestivum (bread wheat). RNAcentral describes it as "partial small subunit ribosomal RNA". Lineage: Eukaryota; Viridiplantae; Streptophyta; Magnoliopsida; Poales; Poaceae. The record is from RNAcentral.